RNAcentral lists this long non-coding RNA (259 nucleotides) under Panax ginseng (ginseng). RNAcentral describes it as "long non-coding RNA (PGIN_LNC005834)". Lineage: Eukaryota; Viridiplantae; Streptophyta; Magnoliopsida; Apiales; Araliaceae. The record is from RNAcentral.
GAACGUAGUAGCUGACGCAUUGAGUAGAAGAUCAUAUGCAAGUACGAGUGCAAUAUUGUCAACGCAAAGGCCCAUUUUAUACGACUUACAAAGGAUGAAGAUAGAAUUAAAGACUCCAGGAUCCCACAUGAUGAUGGCGAAUAUACGAGUAGAACCGACUUUAAUUGAUAAAGUUAAAGCUGCUCAAGCUACGGACCUGGGGCUGAUAUAAAUAAAGAAGAAAGUGCAAGAAGGUGCUAUUCCAGAAGCAAGAAUCGAU